CUGCUUCUACCUAAAGAAUGCAUUAAAGUAGAAUCUUUCAUACUUACAAGUUGAAAAUGACAAUUUCGUCCACGGCUUAUAUAACAUAAAUUUAGUUUUGUUCUAAGAAUUUAACUUUCAUAGCUGUCAACUUCACUUUAGGAAAAACCUUGAGAAAAUACAGUGAAUGUAUCAGAAGUACCAAGAUGCAGGAGAAUACAGUAAAUGUAUGGAUAUUUUCAACAAAUUAGGCUUGGGAAAAGGUUCGAAAUCUUUGCCUGAUCAUUAUCCUAUUUUAGUCAAAAAAGGGUAGCACUGCACCCAUGUAUUUAAAUCCUCUGAUGUUGUUACUAUAACAGGUAUAUUAUAAUCUGCAAUAUUUACCUUGACGGUCCGUGUGAAGCUGGCGAGCUGACACUACGAAAAGCCAAGGGCAUAAUUUCGUACACCGGCGGGGACUGAGCCCCACUCAGAGUAACAAUCUGAUGCAAAUUUAGUAAGCUGAGAUCUGUUAGAUAGGAAAUCUAUUAUCCAAUUAACAAUACUAGCUGGAAGAUUGCACUGGCUACGUAACUUUGUAUCAAGUAUACUAUGAUCUAUAAGAUCAAAAGCUUUACGAUAGUCCAAUAAUAGAGUUCUCACAGCGGCUCCAUUACCAUCAGUACUUGUCGACCAGUGAUGUAACAUGUUGAUCAGCGCCAUCGUAUUUGAUGAUUGUGGGAUAGCACCAUACCCUCAGAUACUUUAGAAGAGAGAGAGAGAGAGAGAUGCCUUUUUUAAUGAGGGAUUCACUUAAUAUCACAAUGAUAAUGUACGCAUGGCCCUAGAAACUACAGGCGUCAGUGAUAUUGGCCUUAGUUCUUUCUGGAGGUCAACUACUUGUUUCUUUUUGGGUAGAGGAGUUACGUCGGCCAUCUUCCAAAUGGAGGGAAGGCGCUGCUCUGCAUAAGAGGUGUUCAGGAUAUCGGUGAUGGGAUACGACACAAGAUCAGAGUAUUCCUUAAGCAGCCAGUUGGGUAUUCUAUCCGGACCGCAGGCCUUUCUUGGGUUCAGUCUUUCUAACGCCUUCUGCACACGUCAGACGUCACACGUCAGACACUGUCAGAAACAGGGGAGAGUGGAACUCCAGUGAUACCCGCUCAAGAGGAAUGGGUAACUUGUACUCUUCCAAUGGCUCGAGCAGGGUUGAAUUGGUGGCAUUUGCUUGUUCGCUGGGAGGCAUGUUCUUCGAUAUUCCUUCGAUGUUGAUCUGGCUAGCCAGAUACAGUACAAUUCUACGAGAAAAGCCCAGACGUCACCCUCGACCGCAUGCCCCUCUGUCCAGCCUGUCUUUGAAGGGUAAAGUAAAGCUGAAGCAUCACUCUCUGCCACUUUGCAUUUCCUUCGGCAAAACCGUUGAAUCAGGGGCCACCAAAAAUUCCCUUGGAUAGUUGUCGAUGAAUAUAUCCGUGCAUGAUUGUGUGUUGCCUUUCAGGAACUCCAGCACUGGGCCUAUCAACGUGUACUCGGAGGAAAAACGUAAGGGCGCUUCAUCUCUUCGAGGACCAAGUCAUGUCCUACGCAAACACGUUUACUCCGAGUGAACCCGGAACGUGUAUGGUGUGAAGUGCGGGAUGGUUUCCCCGCAUUUUCCGUCAUGGUGUUAGAAUCUAGCAGGAGUGUAGGUCGAUGUCUCUUGUUGUACCAGCUUCCACACUCUAGACGCUAGUUUGCGAUCCCCUGCUGACAAUCUACGCGAUGGGGUGUCAGCUGGAUUGAUGAGAGUCGGAACAUAGCGGAGCUGUACAUUUAAUUCGAUUGUCGAGAAGAACAGUUCUUUAAGAGCCACGUUGAGGGCGUGGCUACGACUCCCUUGGUUACUCCAAGCAUAGACGACCGCUUGGUUAUCCACCAACAUUCCAACACGUGCGUUUCUCAAAUGACUGCUAAAUGCGCGCAAAACAUGAUUGACCGCUCUAGCUUCCUAGGUUGCAAUGUCGAGGGGCAUUUCCUCCACUCCGCUGUCCAGUAGUCGGACGUCUCCAGGAGAGGGGUAAGUAAUAAGACGACUCCACCCCAACCAGAGAGAGAGGUGCCGACGCCAGUUGCACCUGCCUCUCAUCACGCCAUGGCAGUGGUUCAUCCCAUCAUUCAAGGAAUAACCAGUGGCUAUUUCCUCUCUUUCUGGGCGUCAAGAAGGACUUCGAUAGUCCCAAGAAAUAUCCAAGCCGUAGCAAGUGGAAAGCCAAUUGGAAAAUCGCCGACUGAGCCACCGCCAAGUCUCGUUGUUGAUUAGUACCCAGGCUCUCGUACGCUCCCGAUCAAGGCGGAUUCUAAAUUUGCCAUUGUGUCUGUCAUCGAUGUACAGUAGACACGGGAUCCCGAGUGAUCUGAAGUAAUUAGAUGCCAAAAGUAUCGUGGUGUGGUACACAUAUGGUGAGUUCCAACCAAACGGAUUGUAUUGUAUACAAAGUAUCACCCGCCCCACUGGAUGCCAAAGAAGCGGCGACUGGCCUCGGUUGGGAAGAGGUGAUCGUAGCCGGAUUUGUCGUCGAGAACAGUUUGAAAGGCAUCCUUGGAGAUUAUUGACGUUGAGACAGUUGACGUUGUUCGAGAAUAUUCUGUGCGGGAGGCGGUCCAAAUAAUAGCUUUUCCCUUGAAGUGUCGAAAAUACGGGAAAAUAGAUACUUUUCCCGAGAUCCAUUGCAAUACCUGGUCACGGCGUUCAGGUGGGGUGUUUUUAGCAAUUUUUCCCCAGUGCCCAAAAUGCUCAUGCAAUUCUCCGGCCACGAAGCUAUUCGGGUAUCGAAAAACCAAGUCUUCGACUCCCUUUUUUUCUACUAAGGUACUGGGUCCGGUAACUGUUUGCUCCAUCUGAGUGUCAGCAGCCAUCUCUCUGCUGGCUUGCAAGGGGUUUCCUUCAAUAUUAUCCACUGAUCCGUUCUUCUAUGAAUAAAUGGGGCAGAAAACCCCGUACCAGCCAGCAGAGAGGCGGCAGUCCUGACCCAAUAUCACCGGGAGGCUUUUUGUAGCCAUUUUUCAAAACUCCCAUCUCUCUGUGGCUUCAAAAAUCUGAGACUAUAUGAAAAAUUCUGAGACCAGUAAACCUUGGCUAAAUGGUGUUAAUGGUGUUAUACCCACCCAAACAAGACCAAAAAUAAUUUUUCUUUUAUUUUGUUUUGCUUUAUUAAUUAACACACGAUUGAAGUAAGUAUAUUAGAUACAUAUCAUCGUUCGGCGUUAAUCUGGAAGUCUGUGGGCCCUCUCUGGGGGAUUGGUAUGGGGUCCGGCGUUGCGCUCUCCCCCGCUCCAUACACCUAGAUAUGAAAUGCCCUGUCUUGUUGCAAUAGUAGCAUCGAGCCGCGCCAGGGCUCUAGUUACUCCUUGCCUGUUUUCUGGAUGGUCCUGUACGAAAAGAAUCCUAAACCUUUGCCAAUUGCGUUUCCCCAUUGCUUUCUCCACUUUGGCGACCGCACCGAAGGCCGCUUGAUGGUCUUUAUCACCAAGGAGCCUCAGCAUUAAAGAGCGGAAGUACUCUUUUGGGGUAAUCUUAACCCGAACCGUCUGGACUUCUCUCCUUCUUUGUCUCUUGCCACAUUCUGCAAUGUUUCUAGCAUUUCAAGAGCCUAAUGCUUGUUAAAUUCUGAGACCGGCCUUUGCGCGUAGUAGAUUGCUUUCCUCUUCAACGCUGAAGUCACUCAGCAAGUUCUGGAAGUCUUUCUUCAACUUCUUUAAAGAACAAUAAAGAUAGAUGUUAUGAACAUUGAAAAUACAAAAAAGAACGUUGAUUUAAAUUGAACGGAUUAGAUAGUUUAGACAAUUGUUUAGUUGAGUUACCACGGCUUCCUCUGUUUUGAGCACAGCCGCCCUUUCCUAUGAUUAGACUGAUAAGAUUUAUUGUAGUUUACGCAUUUCCCUUUGAGUAAGAGUUUAGGAAUGAGGCUCGUCCUACUUUAGGACACGUCCCACCUGCCUAUAAAUUAUAGUACCCAUUUAGCAAUCUUUAAGAGUUGAGCAGAGAAACCGAAGAGAGAAGAGUUGAGUUGAGAGCCAGAGAAGCAGAGUUAGAGAAGUCAGAGUAAAGUUUGAAGAGUUACAAGCUUACUUGGAGUUGUAUUUCUUUAAUCCCCGGAGACGAGAUCAGACUUAUCACCGCAUGUGUUCGAUAGUUGGACGAGUUGAUUGUAAUAAACGCUGUUAAAUCAA
This is a long non-coding RNA of Nematostella vectensis (starlet sea anemone), 4164 nucleotides long. RefSeq lists it as uncharacterized. NCBI's taxonomy places the organism in Eukaryota, Metazoa, Cnidaria, Anthozoa, Actiniaria, Edwardsiidae. The transcript is spliced from 2 exons. The record is from RefSeq and is a predicted model, not a curated record.